UAACCCAAGAGGACAGACGGCUGCUCAGUGAGUCUGACCACACCUCAGGAAACGGCUGUGCCACAGGAUGGAAACACACAUGCCUCUCCACAGGGAGCAGAGCCACGCAGGACCUCAUGAACUCUAUUUUAAAAAACUCUCAAGUAAAAAAAAGCAAGUCAUGGAGAAGAACGGGAAUAACCGGAAGCUUCGGGUUUGCGUUGCCACCUGCAACCGAGCCGAUUACUCCAAACUGGCCCCCAUCAUGUUCGGCAUUAAGACGGAGCCUGCGUUCUUCGAGCUCGACGUGGUGGUGCUGGGCUCUCACCUGAUCGACGACUACGGAAACACAUACCGCAUGAUUGAGCAGGACGACUUUGACAUCAACACCAGGCUACACACGAUUGUUAGAGGGGA
RNAcentral lists this long non-coding RNA (396 nucleotides) under Rattus norvegicus (Norway rat). RNAcentral's name for it is "long non-coding RNA NONRATT023201". Lineage: Eukaryota; Metazoa; Chordata; Mammalia; Rodentia; Muridae. The record is from RNAcentral.